RNAcentral lists this ribosomal RNA (1241 nucleotides) under uncultured bacterium adhufec113. RNAcentral describes it as "bacterial SSU rRNA". It matches the Rfam family "Bacterial small subunit ribosomal RNA", at positions 49 to 1311 of the family's 1533-position model. The record is from RNAcentral.
UAACACAUGCNAGUCGAACGAGAGAUGAGGAGCUUGCUCUUCAAAUCGAGUGGCGAACGGGUGAGUAACGCGUGAGGAACCUGCCUCAAAGAGGGGGACAACAGUUGGAAACGACUGCUAAUACCGCAUAAGCCCACGGCUCGGCAUCGAGCAGAGGGAAAAGGAGCAAUCCGCUUUGAGAUGGCCUCGCGUCCGAUUAGCUAGUUGGUGAGGUAACGGCCCACCAAGGCGACGAUCGGUAGCCGGACUGAGAGGUUGAACGGCCACAUUGGGACUGAGACACGGCCCAGACUCCUACGGGAGGCAGCAGUGGGGAAUAUUGCACAAUGGGGGAAACCCUGAUGCAGCGACGCCGCGUGGAGGAAGAAGGUCUUCGGAUUGUAAACUCCUGUUGUUGAGGAAGAUAAUGACGGUACUCAACAAGGAAGUGACGGCUAACUACGUGCCAGCAGCCGCGGUAAAACGUAGGUCACAAGCGUUGUCCGGAAUUACUGGGUGUAAAGGGAGCGCAGGCGGGAGAACAAGUUGGAAGUGAAAUCCAUGGGCUCAACCCAUGAACUGCUUUCAAAACUGUUUUUCUUGAGUAGUGCAGAGGUAGGCGGAAUUCCCGGUGUAGCGGUGGAAUGCGUAGAUAUCGGGAGGAACACCAGUGGCGAAGGCGGCCUACUGGGCACCAACUGACGCUGAGGCUCGAAAGUGUGGGURGCAAACAGGAUUAGAUACCCUGGUAGUCCACACCGUAAACGAUGAUUACUAGGUGUUGGAGGAUUGACCCCUUCAGUGCCGCAGUUAACACAAUAAGUAAUCCACCUGGGGAGUACGACCGCAAGGUUGAAACUCAAAGGAAUUGACGGGGGCCCGCACAAGCAGUGGAGUAUGUGGUUUAAUUCGACGCAACGCGAAGAACCUUACCAAGUCUUGACAUCCCUUGACGAUGCUGGAAACAGUAUUUCUCUUCGGAGCAAGGAGACAGGUGGUGCAUGGUUGUCGUCAGCUCGUGUCGUGAGAUGUUGGGUUAAGUCCCGCAACGAGCGCAACCCUUAUGGUCAGUUACUACGCAAGAGGACUCUGGCCAGACUGCCGUUGACAAAACGGAGGAAGGUGGGGAUGACGUCAAAUCAUCAUGCCCUUUAUGACUUGGGCUACACACGUACUACAAUGGCGUUAAACAAAGAGAAGCAAGACCGCGAGGUGGAGCAAAACUCAGAAACAACGUCCCAGUUCGGACUGCAGGCUGCAAC